GGACCGGUAGUCUAGCUGGUUAGGAUGACGCUCUCACACAGCGUAAAGACAAAUGUCUCGCUAAGGUCAUGGGUUCGACUCCCAUCCGGUCCA
Molecule: non-coding RNA, 93 nt
Organism: Thaumarchaeota archaeon 13_1_40CM_2_39_4
Lineage: Archaea; Thermoproteati; Nitrososphaerota
Source: Rfam